RNAcentral lists this ribosomal RNA (484 nucleotides) under uncultured bacterium. RNAcentral describes it as "partial 16S ribosomal RNA". It matches the Rfam family "Bacterial small subunit ribosomal RNA", at positions 29 to 507 of the family's 1533-position model. The record is from RNAcentral.
AUUGAACGCUGGCGGCAGGCCUAACACAUGCAAGUCGAGCGGAUGAAGGGAGCUUGCUCCUGGAUUCAGCGGCGGACGGGUGAGUAAUGCCUAGGAAUCUGCCUGGUAGUGGGGGAUAACGUCCGGAAACGGGCGCUAAUACCGCAUACGUCCUGAGGGAGAAAGUGGGGGAUCUUCGGACAUCACGCUAUCAGAUGAGCCUAGGUCGGAUUAGCUAGUUGGUGGGGUAAAGGCCUACCAAGGGGACGAUCCGUAACUGGACUGAGAGGAGGAUCAGUCACACUGGAACUGAGACACGGUCCAGACUACUACGGGAGGCAGCAGUGGGGAAUAGUGGACAGUGGGCGAAAGCCUGAUCCAGCCAGGCCGCGUGUGUGAAGAAGGUCUUCGGAGUGGAAAGCACUUUAAGUUGGGAGGAAGGGCAGUAAGUUAAUACCUUGCUGUUGUGACGUUACCAACAGAAGAAGCACCGGCUAACUUCGUG